RNAcentral lists this ribosomal RNA (440 nucleotides) under uncultured bacterium. RNAcentral describes it as "partial 16S ribosomal RNA". It matches the Rfam family "Bacterial small subunit ribosomal RNA", at positions 338 to 795 of the family's 1533-position model. The record is from RNAcentral.
CCUACGGGAGGCUGCAGUGGGGGAUAUUGCACAAUGGGGGGAACCCUGAUGCAGCGACGCCGCGUGGGCGAAGAAGCGCCUCGGCGCGUAAAGCUCUGUCAGCAGGGAAGAAAAUGACGGUAACUGAAGAAGAAGCCCCGGCUAACUACGUGCCCGCAGCCGCGGGAAUACGUAGGGGGCAAGCGUUAUCCGGAUUUACGGGGUGGAAAGGGGGCGCAGACGGCGAUGCAAGCCAGGAGUGAAAGCGCGGGGCCCAACCCCGGGACUGCUCUUGGAACUGCGUGGCUGGAGUGCAGGAGGGGCAGGCGGAAUUCCUGGUGUAGCGGUGAAAUGCGUAGAUAUCAGGAGGAACACCAGUGGCGAAGGCGGCCUGCUGGACUGCAACUGACGUUGAGGCCCGAAAGCGUGGGGAGCAAACAGGAUUAGAUACCCCGGUAGUC